UACGUAGGCAGCAAGCGUUGUUCGGAAUUACUGGGCGUAAAGGGCGCGUAGGCGGCCUACUAAGUCGGACGUGAAAUCCCCCGGCUUAACCUGGGAACUGCGUGUGAUACUGGAUGGCUUGAGUUUGGGAGAGGGAUGCGGAAUUCCAGGUGUAGCGGUGAAAUGCGUAGAUAUCAGGAGGAACACCGGUGGCGAAGGCGGUGGUCUGGGCCGGAACUGACGCUGAGGAGCGAAAGCGUGGGGAGCGAACAGG
RNAcentral lists this ribosomal RNA (253 nucleotides) under uncultured bacterium. Its description in RNAcentral is "partial 16S ribosomal RNA". It matches the Rfam family "Bacterial small subunit ribosomal RNA", at positions 524 to 776 of the family's 1533-position model. The record is from RNAcentral.